AUGCUAGAAAUGGUGUUGCCACUUGACAUUGGUGAUACCCUCCCUAACCUGGAAAGUCUUACCUUUGGCAGUAGCAUGCUUCAUGGUCAUAUCCCAGCUUCGCUAGGCAAUGCAACAAUGCUACAGCUUAUCGAUUUAUCAAAUAACAGUUUCGUUGGAGAAAUCCCUAGUUUUGGAAAGCUACUAAACCUAUCAGUACUAAACCUAGAGUAUAACAAGCUUGAAUCAGGGGACAGCCAAAGCUGGGAAUCUUUGUAUGGACUAACAAACUCUAGUCAAUUGUCUAUGCUCUUUUUAGAAAAUAAUCAGCUGCAAGGAGCCAUACCAGAUUCCGUUGGUAAGUUGUCAACUCAACUUACACACCUAGAACUGAGUGGAAACAAUCUAUCAGGAACAGUUCCUUUAAGCCUAGGAAACCUGAGUAGCAUAAUCGAUUUAGAUCUUAGCGAAAACAGUUUAACUGGUACAAUUGAAGGGUGGUUGGAGAGUCUAGGAAACCUACAAUCCUUAGAUAUUCAUGAAAAUAACUUCGCCGGGUCCAUUCCACCAUCUUUUGGCAACCUUUCAGGACUGACAAUACUUUCUUUAGCAAAAAACGAAUUUGAAGGUCCCAUACCUCCCAUAUUAGGAAAACUUUCACAACUCUCAAGGCUGGACCUUAGCUAUAAUAAUCUGCAAGGUGACAUACCUCCAAAAAUUAGUGAGCUUAAGCAACUCAUUGCACUAUCACUCUCUUCUAGCAGACUUUCUGGAAAAAUUCCUGAUAAUCUGGGCCAGUGUCAGGGCCUCAUAACCAUCCAAAUGGACCACAAUAAUCUCACGGGUGUCAUUCCAACCUCCUUAGGCAACCUUUUAAGCUUGGACAUGCUCAGCCUCUCCCAUAAUGAUUUAUCAGGUGCCAUCCCAACAGUUCUAAGUGACCUUCAAUCUCUCAGCAAGCUUGACCUUGGCUAUAAUAAUUUCCAAGGUGUCAUACCUCCAUAG
Molecule: ribosomal RNA, 984 nt
Filed under: Triticum aestivum (bread wheat)
Lineage: Eukaryota; Viridiplantae; Streptophyta; Magnoliopsida; Poales; Poaceae
Description: partial small subunit ribosomal RNA
Source: RNAcentral